GGGGCAUUAGCGCAGCUGGUAGCGCAUCUGCUUUGCAAGCAGAGGGUCACCGGUUCGAGUCCGGUAUGCUCCACCA
RNAcentral lists this transfer RNA (76 nucleotides) under Bifidobacterium pullorum subsp. saeculare. Its description in RNAcentral is "tRNA-Ala". It matches the Rfam family "tRNA". From Rfam's summary of the family: Transfer RNA (tRNA) molecules are approximately 80 nucleotides in length. Their secondary structure includes four short double-helical elements and three loops (D, anti-codon, and T loops). Lineage: Bacteria; Bacillati; Actinomycetota; Actinomycetes; Bifidobacteriales; Bifidobacteriaceae. The record is from RNAcentral.